RNAcentral lists this ribosomal RNA (493 nucleotides) under uncultured bacterium. RNAcentral's name for it is "bacterial SSU rRNA". It matches the Rfam family "Bacterial small subunit ribosomal RNA", at positions 903 to 1397 of the family's 1533-position model. The record is from RNAcentral.
AAAGGAAUAGACGGGGGCCCGCACAAGCGGCGGAGCAUGCGGAUUAAUUCGAUGCAACGCGAAGAACCUUACCUGGGUUUGACAUCACCCGGAAACCACUGGAGACAGUGGCCUCUUCGGACUGGGUGACAGGUGGUGCAUGGCUGUCGUCAGCUCGUGUCGUGAGAUGUUGGGUUAAGUCCCGCAACGAGCGCAACCCUUAUCCUAUGUUGCCAGCGCGUUAUGGCGGGGACUCAUGGGAGACUGCCGGGGUCAACUCGGAGGAAGGUGGGGAUGAGGUCAAGUCAUCAUGCCCCUUAUGUCCAGGGCUUCACGCAUGCUACAAUGGCCGGUACAGAGGGCUGCGAUACCGUGAGGUGGAGCGAAUCUCUUAAAGCCGGUCUCAGUUCGGAUCGGGGUCUGCAACUCGACCCCGUGAAGUCGGAGUCGCUAGUAAUCGCAGAUCAGCAACGCUGCGGUGAAUACGUUCCCGGGCCUUGUACACACCGCCCGU